Long non-coding RNA from Suricata suricatta (meerkat), 1254 nucleotides. RefSeq lists it as uncharacterized. The transcript has 8 exons. NCBI's taxonomy places the organism in Eukaryota, Metazoa, Chordata, Mammalia, Carnivora, Herpestidae. The record is from RefSeq and is a predicted model, not a curated record.
AAGCAUGACAUCCACCUUAGAGAAAACAGGGAGACAUCAGUAAAGCAGGAAGAGUCUCCCAGAGAUUAGAGGGACUCAGGCAAGCAAAGCCUGGUAAAGAAUCUACAACCCUGUGUUGAGAGAAGACUGUGUUCUAAUGGAGAGCGGAAGAGAUGGAGUCUGAAAGUCUGAUAAAAUGGGCCUGUGCCUCCAAGUAUAAUAGUGGUGCCUCCUGAUUUUGCAGUAUCUCUAGACAAAUGAAGCCACAAGGGUGAAGGCACAGGAUCCCUUUUAGAAUGGAAGACACAGAAUAGAGUUUGAGAUACAACUUCUGAAACGGCAGCCUCCUGAGAGCCUGAUUCCCGCUAAAGUGUUGCCGCUCCGCAUUUUUCACACUGAACGCGGCGAAGACAACGAACAUUAAUUAGGAUUACGGAGCCAGGGAGGCUUACCGCCCUGAGACAGCUCACAAGAAAGAGAAUGCCACUUCUUUUUUUGGAUGCCAUUCUGAGUGUCAUAUUCCUUGAGGGCGACUGGCGCACUGGCUCAUAUUUGGCGCACAAAUGCAUAUAUGAGAUUGGAAGAAACAUGGAACACUUCUCUCCUGCAGCUGGAGCCCAAGGCUAUGGAAUUUCCUUUCUUAGGAGACCCUGAUAGAAGCAAAGAGACACUGGAAGUUAACAUCUUGUUGAGAGAGCCCUGAGCUGACAAGAGGAUUCUGGGUGAUCACAAAAUGUCUCCCUAGAGUGACUUAAUACUAGAAAAGUAACAGUAAAUCAAAUAAACCCUCUGCAAACACGUCUAGUCCUCCUAGGACUCUACCCUGGGUUGGCAUCUUUCAUGAUGGAACUUGCAGAGGAAUCAGAGCCGAGUAAAGAGAAUAGGAAAGGCAGAGGACGCAAUCUUUUUCUUCCCGCUGAUCGCCUCCUUUCCACCUCCCACCUGAGUUCUGACCGAUGCAAAAGGAGAGCUCCCCGUGCUGGGAACACCCUUCCCUUCCUCCCUCUCACCUGGGUAACUCCUCUCUUCCUGCAAGCCUUGCCUCACAUUUCGUCUUCCAAGGCCUGCCCCACCUCUGUGGUACCUUUAAAUCUGUGUUGAAGCCAACAUCAGAUUAUGAAUCAUCUGGAGAGCAUCUGAGAUGGAACAAGGUGUCCGGACUAAGAACAACAUUGCAAAAACGUUAAAUAACACACAUGUUGUGGGCAUCAGCCCCUUCUGUGGCCUUCCCCACACUCGUGGCAUCCUCGGGGGUAGCUCUAAUCUCAGCAGUGG